CCUACGGGAGGCAGCAGUGAGGAAUAUUGGUCAAUGGGCGCGAGCCUGAACCAGCCAAGUCGCGUGAGGGAAGAAGGUCCUAUGGAUCGUAAACCUCUUUUGUCGGGGAGCAAAAGACGCCACGCGUCGCGUUCCGAGAGUAACCGAAGAAAAAGCAUCGGCUAACUCCGUGCCAGCAGCCGCGGUAAUACGGAGGAUGCGAGCGUUAUCCGGAUUUAUUGGGUUUAAAGGGUGCGCAGGCGGAAUAUCAAGUCAGCGGUAAAAUUGAGAGGCUCAACCUCGUCGAGCCGUUGAAACUGGUGAUCUUGAGUGAGUGAGAAGUAUGCGGAAUGCGUGGUGUAGCGGUGAAAUGCAUAGAUAUCACGCAGAACUCCGAUUGCGAAGGCAGCAUACCGGCGCUCAACUGACGCUCAUGCACGAAAGUGUGGGUAUCGAACAGGAUUAGAUACCCCUGUAGUC
RNAcentral lists this ribosomal RNA (459 nucleotides) under uncultured bacterium. Its description in RNAcentral is "partial 16S ribosomal RNA". It matches the Rfam family "Bacterial small subunit ribosomal RNA", at positions 338 to 795 of the family's 1533-position model. The record is from RNAcentral.